This 466-nucleotide ribosomal RNA is filed under the name uncultured bacterium. RNAcentral describes it as "partial 16S ribosomal RNA". It matches the Rfam family "Bacterial small subunit ribosomal RNA", at positions 28 to 507 of the family's 1533-position model. The record is from RNAcentral.
GACGAACGCUGGCGGUGUGCUUAACACAUGCAAGUCGAACGGUAAGGCCCUUUCGGGGUUACCCGAGUGGCGCUCGGGUGAGUAACACGUGCGUAACCUGCCCUCCUCUCUGGGAUAACAUUCGGAAACGGUUUCUAAUACUGGAUAUGAGCUUGCAAGGCAUCUUGUGGGUUGGAAAGAUUUUUUUGGUUGGGGAUGGACUCGCGGCCUAUCAGCUUGUUGGUGAUGUAGUGGCUCACCAAGGCUUCGACGGGUAGCCGGCCUGAGAGGGGGACCGGCCACAUUGGGACUGAGAUACGGCCCAAACUCCUACGGGAGGCAGCAGGGGGGAAUAUUGCACAAUGGACGGAAGUCUGAUGCAGCAACGCCGCGGGCGGGAUGACGGACUUCGGGUUGGAAACCGAUUUAAAUUGUGACGAAGCUGUAUGUGACGGUAGCAGUAGAAGAAGCACCGGCUAACUACGUG